UACAGAGGUCUCAAGCGUUGUUCGGAUUCAUUGGGCGUCAAGGGUGCGUAGGCGGCGCGGUAAGUCGGGUGUGAAAUCUCGGGGCUUAACUCCGAAACUGCAUUCGAUACUGCGGUGCUUGAGGACUGGAGAGGAGACUGGAAUUCAUGGUGUAGCAGUGAAAUGCGUAGAGAUCAUGAGGAAGACCAGUGGCGAAGGCGGGUCUCUGGACAGUUCCUGACACUGAGACACGAAGGCCAGGGGAGCAAACGGG
This 253-nucleotide ribosomal RNA is filed under the name uncultured bacterium. RNAcentral's name for it is "partial 16S ribosomal RNA". It matches the Rfam family "Bacterial small subunit ribosomal RNA", at positions 524 to 776 of the family's 1533-position model. The record is from RNAcentral.